This 72-nucleotide transfer RNA is filed under the name Scleropages formosus (Asian bonytongue). It matches the Rfam family "tRNA". Rfam says of the family: Transfer RNA (tRNA) molecules are approximately 80 nucleotides in length. Their secondary structure includes four short double-helical elements and three loops (D, anti-codon, and T loops). Lineage: Eukaryota; Metazoa; Chordata; Actinopteri; Osteoglossiformes; Osteoglossidae. The record is from Rfam by way of RNAcentral.
AGUACAGUGGAGCAGCAGCAGCGUGCUGGGCUCAUAACCCAGAGGUUGAACCAUCUACUCAUUCCUGUUCUA